GACGUGUGCCAGCUUUCCAGCCCUAGCUCUCCUCUUUGGUAAUUUGUUGAGCAGUUGCUUGGCUCCUAAUUCAUUCAUGGCUUCUGGAGGUAAAAACAACCCUGGAUUCCAACCUGAUUCUGACAGUGAUGAGCACGUCUAUGCAGAGCCAGAGGAGGUUUAUGACAAUCCUUUUGAUGCAAUGCGGCGCCAGGGAGUAUAUUCUCUCCUGAGACCCCCCUAUAAUAGACAAGAGGCUGUAGAUAGCGAUGAUGAUGCCACCUAUGCCACCCCCUCUUUUGACAGAAUAAUUACUCGCAGACCCAGCACUGGCGAAGUCGAGAGGAUGCCUGGCACGCCCAGUCGGCGUCCCCCCGAACAGUCAGAUAGUGAGUCUGAUUAUGAGGAUAUAGGGGCAUAUGGGCAACCUGCCAGGCAAUCGAUCUAUCAAACACCCAGGAGGUCCACCAUCAGGUGUAAAGUCUCUUCUGUGGGUGAGAACUAUGAUAUCCCUAGGGAUACUCAGGCCAAUACUGUCACUGUGCAAACAACUCAUGGGGGCGCGCGUCCUCGGUCCCGGGCACCCAGGGUUUUGGUUAGACACCCAGAGGCCGGAGGCAACAAACCUGACUUCCUGCCAGUGGACAAACCACUUCCAUCUGUACCUCAACAUGUACCUCAAGGGUAUGAGGAAAUGGCAGGUUCUCCACCCCCAGAACGGGAUGUCAGGUCUCCCAGGCCACAAAGACGGCCAAACCCCCCAGUGAUAAUCUUCUCUGAUUCUGAGACGGAAAGUGACGCGGAAGCUGUUGGGGAGCGUCAGAGGGGAAGUAAGGUUGAUGUUCCUACAUCCUGGAAACGCCUGAUGAUGACUAAGGAGACUGGAACAAAGAGUAAAACCGCUUUUGACAAACUAAAGGGAAGUUUUGAGAAGUUCAUGAGCGGAAAUACAAAAAAUGAGGGCACGGAAGAGCAUCGGUCAGUUGUUAGGAGGAGAGGAGACGGGACUGGGUUCAGAUAUUCAUAUAUGUCCAAAAUGAGCACAGAUUUCCCGGCAGGCCCCACCAGAUGUGCCACUGUGUUAUACUUUGAUGGUGGGAUUGCGGUGGGUAAGACCACCGCCCUGGAGGCUGCUGCUGAGUUUCUGCACAACAUACUUGUGAUCUCAGAACCUAUUCCUUACUGGACUUCCACUUUUGACAAAAAUGUCUGUCAGCAGAUCUACGAUGUGGUCAAGACCAAAGAAAAGGGGAAGAAGCACUCCAAAAAAGUGUUGCAAUGCCAAAUGGCCUUUGCCCAGCCUUUUCAUGCCACCCAGCACCUACUCCGCCGGACGUGUCUAGGUACCAAGGUCUCCGAUGGAACAUGUAACAAUUAUGUGUUGAUUGACAGGCAUAUGGUGUCUCCCACAGUCAUCUUUCCUUGCCUGUUUUUCAGAUUGGGGGUGUUGAGGUUCUGUGAUUUGUUAUCACUAUUGUCUGUGUUUUCAGCACAAAAAUUUGAUAAUGUUGUCUUGUUUAAACUCCAUCCCAAAGUAGCUGCGACCCGAGUCAAGGAGAGGGGGAGAAACCCAGAAGGUGUGAUCAACCACACGUACCUGCAACUCCUCAAUGAAGUAUUGGAUGCCAUUUUUUGUGCCUGGGAACUGUUGGCGAUCGUGCCUCCUGAAGUUAUUGUGGAUGCUAUGCUUUCCCAGACUUCAGUUAAGACUGUGUUUCAGAAGGCUGGCUUUGUUGCACCCAGGGCAAGGCUUAUGGAACAGAUGUUUAGAGAUAGUAUUUUUAAUGACUUGAGAGAAAAUGUGCGUCAGUUGCCACUACAUGGAUCAUCCAUCCCAACCUUGCUACAUAAAUUUUGUUAUGAACUAUCCAAACCACAUAUGGUUAAACUAGAUGCUGGACAGUUUCCUAACGAUGUUCCCGGUUUGUGGACUCACAUAUAUACCCAAAUACUCACAGACCCGGCUAUUAAAACAUGCGACCUGAAAUGGAAUAUCCUAGAAAAGGGCAUAUCUGGUGGAGACCCUCAGUAGUAAUAAAUAGCCAAGCACAAUGGUGACAUGUUUGAAAAA
Molecule: non-coding RNA, 2050 nt
Filed under: synthetic construct
Source: RNAcentral